GAUCGGAUCGGAUCGUCUGUCUGAAACCACCACCACGGCGCGGCGCCGUCCUCUUCUUCGUCUUCCACAUCGCAAUUCUCGCCUAUUUAUUGGAUUCAGCCUGCCAGAUCAAGCACAGCGCACGACUUGAAACAAAGGCAGGCUUUGAGGAGGGAUUCGAGGCGAUGGCGAUGGAUGCUGCGGAGGUGGACCACCUCGCCGCCGAGAGGGCCACCGCGCAGUUCGACGUCGAACAGAUGAAGGUCGCAUGGGCCGGCUCCCGCCACGCCGUCGACGUCGCCGACCGCAUGGCCAGACUCGUCGCAUCCGACCCAGUGUUCCGCAAGGAUAACAGGACCAUGCUCUCCAGGAAGGAUUUGUUCAAGGACACACUACAAAAGGCCGCCCAUGCGUGGAAGCGCAUCAUCGAACUACGUCUUACAGAAGAGGAAGCAAGUUUGCUGAGGCUAUAUGUCGACCAGCCUGGUUAUGUUGAUCUGCAUUGGGGCAUGUUUGUUCCUGCCAUAAAAGGGCAAGGAACUGAAGAGCAGCAGCAGAAGUGGUUACCACUGGCCUACAAGUUCCAAAUCAUUGGAUGCUAUGCUCAGACUGAACUUGGUCAUGGAUCAAAUGUUCAGGGCCUUGAAACAACUGCUACGUUUGAUCCGAACACUGAUGAGUUUGUUAUCCACAGCCCAACUCUGACCUCCAGCAAAUGGUGGCCUGGUGGCUUGGGUAAAGCUUCCACUCAUGCAGUUGUGUAUGCCCGACUGAUAACUGAAGGAAAGGACUACGGCAUACACGGUUUCAUUGUGCAACUUCGAAGCUUAGAGGAUCACUCACCGCUUCCUGGUGUUACCCUUGGUGAUAUUGGUGGAAAAUUUGGUAGUGGUGCAUAUAACAGUAUGGAUAAUGGUGUUCUACGAUUUGACCAUGUGCGCAUCCCGAGGGAUCAGAUGUUGAUGAGGCUUUCACAAGUUACGAGGGAGGGGAAAUAUGUACACUCAGAUGUUCCAAAGCAGCUGCUUUAUGGAACAAUGGUUUUUGUUCGUCAGUCAAUUGUUGCAGAUGCUUCUAAGGCUUUGUCCCGUGCUGUUUGCAUUGCUGUACGAUACAGCGCUAUCCGAAAGCAGUUUGGCUCUCAAGUUGGUGGCCCUGAGACUCAGGUCCUUAAUUACAAGACUCAACAGAGCAGGCUCUUUCCUUUGCUGGCCUCAGCAUAUGCUUUCAGAUUCGUGGGUGAUUGGCUCAAGUGGCUGUACACGGAUGUUACACAGAAACUGGAAGCCAAGGAUUUCUCAACACUGCAAGAAGCUCAUGCCUGUACUGCUGGUCUGAAGGCUGUGACAACAUCUGCAACAGCUGAUGCAAUUGAAGAAUGCCGAAAGCUCUGUGGUGGGCAUGGUUACCUGAACAGCAGUGGGCUUCCUGAAUUGUUUGCUGUCUAUGUUCCUGCUUGCACUUAUGAAGGAGACAAUGUUGUUUUGCUUUUGCAGGUUGCAAGGAUUCUAAUGAAGACUGUUUCUCAAUUGGCUUCUGGAAAACAACCUGUUGGUACAAUGGCUUACAUGGGUAAAAUACAAUAUUUGAUGCAAUGCAAAUGUGCUGUAAAUACAGCCGAAGAUUGGCUUAAUCCUGCUGCCAUACAAGAGGUAUUUGAAGCUAGGGCUCUUAGGAUGGCGGUAAAUUGCGCCCAGAACGUAAGCCAAGCGCCAAGCCAAGAAGAUGGUUUCUAUGAGCGGUCCCCAGAUUUGCUUGAGGCCGCGGUAGCUCACAUCCAGUUGAUUACUGUAACCAAGUUCAUCGAGAAAGUGCAGCAGGACAUUCCUGGACAUGGAGUAAAGGAGCAACUCCAGAACCUUUGCAAUGUUUAUGCACUGUUCAUUCUCCACAAGCAUCUUGGAGACUUCCUGGCGGCUGGUUGCAUCACGCCUAAGCAGGGAGCAUUGGCAAACGAGCAGCUUGGAAAGCUUUACGCCCAGGUGCGGCCGAAUGCUGUGGCGUUGGUGGAUGCCUUCAACUACACGGACCACUACCUGGGGUCGGUUCUUGGGCGGUACGACGGCAACGUGUAUCCGGCGCUGUACGAGGAGGCGUGGAAGGACCCUCUGAACGAGACGGUGGUGCCGGAGGGGUACCACGACUACCUCCGCCCCCUCUUGAAGCAGCAGCUCAACCUGUCGAGGCUGUGACCUGUGUCAUGUCAUUAUGCUAUCUAUGCUGCUCCUCGGAGACUCUCAACCUGAAUCUGAAUCUGAAUCUGAAUGAGUGGAAUAAGAGAGAUUCUACUCCAAUAUGAGUUGUAUGAAAAAAAAUUUCAAUGUUAGCCUUUCAUUUUUGCUAUAUACUCUUUUUUAUACAUAAAAGAAGUAUAUACGCAAAUUAUGAUAAAAAUCAUGGAAUUUCAUAAAAAAUUUUGUGGGAUUUC
Phragmites australis (common reed) is the source of this 2407-nucleotide RNA transcript. It is a transcript of the gene named peroxisomal acyl-coenzyme A oxidase 1-like, with no coding region annotated. The transcript has 15 exons. NCBI's taxonomy places the organism in Eukaryota, Viridiplantae, Streptophyta, Magnoliopsida, Poales, Poaceae. The record is from RefSeq and is a predicted model, not a curated record.